RNAcentral lists this ribosomal RNA (397 nucleotides) under uncultured bacterium. RNAcentral's name for it is "partial 16S ribosomal RNA". It matches the Rfam family "Bacterial small subunit ribosomal RNA", at positions 523 to 918 of the family's 1533-position model. The record is from RNAcentral.
AUACGUAGGUGACAAGCGUUAUCCGGAUUUACUGGGCGUAAAGGGCGUGUAGGCGGUCUUGCAAGUCAGAAGUGAAAUUCCUGAGCUCAACUCGGGCGCUGCUUCUGAAACUGCAGGACUUGAGUGCUGGAGGGGAUAGCGGAAUUCCUAGUGGAGCGGUAAAAUGCGCAGAUAUUAGGAAGAACACCGGUGGCGAAGGCGGCUAUCUGGACAGUAACUGACGCGGAGGCGCGAAAGCGUGGGGAGCAAACAGGAGUAGAUACCCUGUUAGUCCACGCCGUAAACGAUGAAUACUAGGUGUAGGGGGUAUCGACUCCCUCUGUGCCGCAGUUAACACAAUAAGUAUUCCGCCUGGGGAGUACGGCCGCAAGGUUGAAACUCAAAUGAAUUGACGGGG